RNAcentral lists this ribosomal RNA (670 nucleotides) under uncultured bacterium. RNAcentral describes it as "bacterial SSU rRNA". It matches the Rfam family "Bacterial small subunit ribosomal RNA", at positions 63 to 745 of the family's 1533-position model. The record is from RNAcentral.
UCGACGGUUAAGCAUCUUCGGAUGUGUAUAAAGNNNCGAACGGCUGAGUAACACGUGGGCAACCUGCCCUUUGCACUGGGAUAGCCUCGGGAAACCGAGGUUAAUACCGGAUACUCCAUAUUUGUCGCAUGGCGAAUAUGGGAAAGCUCCGGCGGCAAAGGAUGGGCCCGCGGCCUGUUAGCUAGUUGGUGGGGUAGUGGCCUACCAAGGCAAUGAUGGGUAGCCGGGUUGAGAGACCGACCGGCCAGAUUGGGACUGAGACACGGCCCAGACUCCUACGGGAGGCAGCAGUGGGGAAUCUUGCACAAUGGGCGAGAGCCUGAUGCAGCGACGCCGCGUGCGGGAUGAAGGCCUUCGGGUUGUAAACCGCUUUCAGCAGGGACGAGGCCGCAAGGUGACGGUACCUGCAGAAGAAGCCCCGGCUAACUACGUGCCAGCAGCCGCGGUAAUACGUAGGGGGCAAGCGUUAUCCGGAUUCAUUGGGCGUAAAGCGCGCGUAGGCGGUCUGUUAGGUCAGGAGUUAAAUCUGGGGGCUCAACCCCUAUCCGCUCCUGAUACCGGCAGGCUUGAGUCUGGUAGGGGAAGAUGGAAUUCCAAGUGUAGCGGUGAAAUGCGCAGAUAUUUGGAAGAACACCGGUGGCGAAGGCGGUCUUCUGGGCCAUGACUGACG